RNAcentral lists this ribosomal RNA (458 nucleotides) under uncultured bacterium. Its description in RNAcentral is "partial 16S ribosomal RNA". It matches the Rfam family "Bacterial small subunit ribosomal RNA", at positions 28 to 523 of the family's 1533-position model. The record is from RNAcentral.
GAUAAACGCUGGCGGCGUGCCUAAUACAUGCAAGUCGAGCGGAAAGGCUCCUUCGGGAGUACUCGAGCGGCGGACGGCUGAGUAACACGUAGGAACGUACCCCAAAGUGAGGGAUAACUGCUCGAAAGAGUAGCUAAUACCGCAUGUGCUCUAAGGAGUAAAGCUUCGGCGCUUUGGGAACGGCCUGCGCCUGAUUAGCUUGUUGGUGAGGUAAAAGCUCACCAAGGCGACGAUCAGUAGCUGGUCUGAGAGGAUGAUCAGCCAGACUGGGACUGAGAACGGCCCAGACUCCUACGGGAGGCAGCAGUAGGGAAUUUUCCACAAUGGGCGAAAGCCUGAUGGAGCAACGCCGCGUGCAGGAUGAAUGCCUUCGGGUUGUAAACUGCUUUUAUAUGUGACGAUUAUGACGGUAGCAUAUGAAUAAGGAUCGGCUAACUCCGUGCCAGCCGCCGCAGUAA